RNAcentral lists this non-coding RNA (100 nucleotides) under Clostridium sp. Its description in RNAcentral is "Guanine sequence". It matches the Rfam family "Purine riboswitch aptamer". Rfam says of the family: Riboswitches are metabolite binding domains within certain messenger RNAs that serve as precision sensors for their corresponding targets. Allosteric rearrangement of mRNA structure is mediated by ligand binding, and this results in modulation of gene expression. A class of riboswitches that selectively recognises guanine and becomes saturated at concentrations as low as 5 nM. RNAcentral also lists the same sequence under 1 other name. The record is from RNAcentral. Lineage: Bacteria; Bacillati; Bacillota; Clostridia; Eubacteriales; Clostridiaceae.
UUUUAAAUAAAACUAAAGUUUCGUAUAACCCCAAUAAUAUGGUUUUGGGGUCUCUACUAGGAACCUAUAAUUCCUAAUUACGAAGAAAAUAUAUAUUUUU